RNAcentral lists this ribosomal RNA (452 nucleotides) under uncultured bacterium. RNAcentral's name for it is "partial 16S ribosomal RNA". It matches the Rfam family "Bacterial small subunit ribosomal RNA", at positions 28 to 506 of the family's 1533-position model. The record is from RNAcentral.
GAUGAACGCUGACAGAAUGCUUAACACAUGCAAGUCAACUUGAACUUCGGUUUGGGUGGCGGACGGGUGAGUAACGCGUAACGAACUUGCCUCACAGUUAGGGACAACAUUUGGAAACGAAUGCUAAUACCUGAUAUUAUGAUUUUAGGGCAUCCUAGAAUUAUGAAAGCUAUAUGCGCUGUGAGAGAGCUUUGCGUCCCAUUAGCUAGUUGGAGAGGUAACGGCUCACCAAGCGAUGAUGGGUAGCCGGCCUGAGAGGGUGAACGGCCACAAGGGGACUGAGACACGGCCCUUACUCCUACGGGAGGCAGCAGUGGGGAAUAUUGGACAAUGGACCAAGAGUCUGAGCCAGCAAUUCUGUGGGCACGAUGAAGUUUUUCGGAAUGUAAAGUGCUUUCAGUUGGGAAGAAAAAAAGGACGGUACCAACAGAAGAAGUGACGGCUAAAUACGU